Molecule: long non-coding RNA, 325 nt
Filed under: Ananas comosus (pineapple)
Lineage: Eukaryota; Viridiplantae; Streptophyta; Magnoliopsida; Poales; Bromeliaceae
Description: long non-coding RNA (ACOM_LNC032840)
Source: RNAcentral
AUCUCCAUACAUUUUUAUCAAAAAUUUUAUAAACUUUUAUAAAAAAUUUUAUGAUAAAAUUUUACCCUCUAUAAGUAUAAAAAUCUCAAUUUUUGCCAACAGAAUAUUAAUAUUUGUCUUUGCAGACGUGUGAUCAAAAUUCCAACCAACUGUACUAAAUAGUAAUAAUACUUACUUUUUUCAACAUAAGUAACAUUGUAUAAUGCCUCAUCGUUAGAAUUUUUAUAAUUUGGUUGAACAAUAAAGUUUAAUGUAAAAAUUAUUUAAAAUUAUUUAAAUUAAUAUUUGGAUAUAAAAAGUGAAAAAAAAAAUGGCCAAUAGGUGG